CGACUCUCGGCAACGGAUAUCUCGGCUCUCGCAUCGAUGAAGAACGUAGCGAAAUGCGAUACUUGGUGUGAAUUGCAGAAUCCCGUGAACCAUCGAGUCUUUGAACGCAAGUUGCGCCUGAAACCAUUUGGUUGAGGGCACGUCUGCCUGGGCGUCACGC
Molecule: ribosomal RNA, 160 nt
Filed under: Odontites viscosus subsp. australis
Lineage: Eukaryota; Viridiplantae; Streptophyta; Magnoliopsida; Lamiales; Orobanchaceae
Also listed under: 2 other names
Description: 5.8S ribosomal RNA
Rfam family: 5.8S ribosomal RNA
About the family: 5.8S ribosomal RNA (5.8S rRNA) is a component of the large subunit of the eukaryotic ribosome. It is transcribed by RNA polymerase I as part of the 45S precursor that also contains 18S and 28S rRNA.
Source: RNAcentral